CGACGCUGGCGGCGUGCCUAAUACAUGCAAGUCGAGCGGAUCUCUUCGGAGGUCAGCGGCGGACGGGUGAGUAACACGUGGGCAACCUGCCUGUAAGACUGGGAUAACUCCGGGAAACCGGAGCUAAUACCGGAUACUAUGUCAAACCGCAUGGUUUGACAUUCAAAGACGGUUUCGGCUGUCACUUACAGAUGGGCCCGCGGCGCAUUAGCUAGUUGGUGAGGUAAUGGCUCACCAAGGCGACGAUGCGUAGCCGACCUGAGAGGGUGAUCGGCCACACUGGGACUGAGACACGGCCCAGACUCCUACGGGAGGCAGCAGUAGGGAAUCUUCCGCAAUGGACGAAAGUCUGACGGAGCAACGCCGCGUGAGUGAUGAAGGUUUUCGGAUCGUAAAACUCUGUUGUCAGGGAAGAACAAGUGCCGGAGUAACUGCCGGCGCCUUGACGGUACCUGACCAGAAAGCCACGGCUAACUACGUGCCAGCAGCCGCGGUAAUAC
Molecule: ribosomal RNA, 500 nt
Filed under: Bacillus sp. BT1(2010)
Lineage: Bacteria; Bacillati; Bacillota; Bacilli; Caryophanales; Bacillaceae
Description: bacterial SSU rRNA
Rfam family: Bacterial small subunit ribosomal RNA
Source: RNAcentral